RNAcentral lists this long non-coding RNA (2376 nucleotides) under Anser brachyrhynchus (Pink-footed goose). RNAcentral describes it as "lncRNA (ENSABRG00000009637.1)". Lineage: Eukaryota; Metazoa; Chordata; Aves; Anseriformes; Anatidae. The record is from RNAcentral.
GCAGAGUGCUCAUGGGUUUGCCUCCCCCCCUGAGACCCGCUGUGCAGAGGUACAUCCAGCAGAGCUGUAUGUGUGGAUGUGUCUUCAAUAUUACCAUUCAUAUGGUAGUUCUCCACGAAAACUCAGCUCAGAUUCCGUCUGUGGUUUUCAGCAAGAAUACUGCUUUUCCCUUCUUCCCGCACUAUUUUCCAGCCAGAUUGACUGAACUACAGAAAGGUCAAAUGACUUGCUUGGAGGGUAAGCUAUGAGUCAGGAGCACAGCUAGUAUUGAAUCAAACCUUUUCCUGUCUUCCAGUCCAACCACUAGACAACACACAAUUGCUUUCAUUGACCAGAGAGUUCUAAUGAAGUCAGCGUUAGCUGUGGCAUACACUAGCAUGACUCUCUGAACAGUGUUAGUACGCAUUAGGAGGAGUCUCCAAAAAUCAGUCACCUUCUACCAACAAUUCAGUUGGUAUGUGGCAGACAGCAGACCUUGAGUCCCUUUCUUUACAUGCUUUGUGUCCUGCCUGUGCAUAUUGCCAUUUGCACACUUCAGUCAUGCAGCUGUGCGCCCAUCUGCACUGGGAGCUGGUGUACACAGCUCUACUCGGGGGCUGACCUACAGCCUUCGUUCUCAAUCUUCUGGUCUUGGGACGUCCAACGGGAUUUCAGCUGCUCCUCCUUUACAGGCAAGAAGAUGGAAAGGGGCCUAUUAUUCUGUUCUGCUGUAAUAUGAGAUCACGGUUGGGAAAAUGUUCAGAAACACUGGACGAGAUAAGCUCAACAAUCUGUUUUGACCUUAGGCUCUACUGAUGUUUGGAUUUAGCUGACCUACAUGCAUCUGCACAAAUGUUAGCAGAUAGAUGUCUGGAAAACUUGCAGAUAGACUGAUGGAAGAUACUGAUAAAAGAAAAUAUAUAUAUAUAUAUGACUGGAAAGGAGCUUGAGCAAGCAUCUAUUCUACCCUCACCUAAAGCAGGAUGGGCUUUAUCUACACCAUUCCUAGCAGGCAACUCAGCUUCAGUGACCUCCCCAGGCUAUCUGUGCUAUCACUCGGGUUAUUAGGUUAGACAUUAAGGGGAACCUUUAUUGCUCCCUCUUUCUGAAAUGGGAGUGUGCCACUUUCAUGUACAGGAUGUAAACCAAUCAAAAAACAGAGUCCAUGCUAUUUGGAAGAGCAUGUAUUACAAAGUCAAUGGUAGAGGAGUAAAUGUGUCUUCAGCAAAAAUUCCCUUUUUCUUGUGGUGAUUUUUUCCAGUACAGAGAAAUUGUUUUUUUCUCUUUGUACUGAAUAAUGCCUGGCUCUGCCUUUCUCCUACUAAGGCUCUAUUUUCAAAGAUUUUCUAAGUGUUAUUCUAUUAAACUGCCUUUGUAUGUGAAGAAAAGGUAAUAGGAAAAAGAAAUAGUUUUCAAAUGAGACUGAAGAUUUGACUUUUCAAAGCCAGGAAAUUUGUAUUGAAUCAUCUGACUGAAUUUGCUGUGCUGCGCUGUGCUGCGAUGUUUUAGCUCAUACGGCACACAAGAUAACCACUGUUCAGAGACCCUGCAGUAACUCAGCAAAAUAGGAUGAAUGGAGGAUGACGUUUCUGCUAUAAAUCAUCGGGUCUAUUGUGUAUAUGUGUAAUAGACAGGACUUGGGAAGCAGGGAAAUAUAGGACUGUUAUGGAAUACCAGAAGGAAUCUUUUACUGAUGACUGGAUGUCCGCUCAAAAAAAAAAAAAAAAAAAAAGGGAAAAAAAAAAAAGACCCUCUCUAAUAUAAAGUCACCAUAUAAAUUAGAAAUGGAAACAGCUACUAUUAGAGCAUCUUUUCCAUCCUCCUGUCACUGUGGAAUUGUUCCCUACCGUGUGUUCCUGAGUGUUUUGUCCAGUCUUCUCUGAAACAGUUUAAGCAACAAGGUUUCCAUUGCUUCUCCUUGGAAUCCUACCCCACUCUGUAGUAGAUCUCGUUAAUAGGAGAUGUUGCUGUAAAUCAUAAAUUUUCCUGCUCUCAGUUUCAUCUCAUUAAUUCCACUUAUACCCCCUUCUCCGGUCCUAAUCAAUUCCUUUGCCUUUUAAGUGUUUAUAUCCUCCUAAGACUUAUGGGGAAUUACCAUACCCCAAUUAGAUAUCAUCCAGCCAAGAUAUUUGCAAAGCCCAUUCCCUUCAUUUUCCUUCAGCCCACAUCUAAGCCUUGGAUCAUUUUUUCCCCUCUCUGAAGUCCCUUCAGUUUGUCAUCGAGUCGCCCUCAAUUUAAGUUGAAGAGAGGUCUGGUCCCUACACUGCAGCCAGAGAUGCGGCGAUCGGGUUUCCAGAACACUAGCAAUCCCCCGCUCACCACAAAGUCAGAUGGAGGCGAGUGGCUGUGGAGACCACUCAGGAAGAAAAAGGAAAUAAAGGAGAGUGGCAGUUUGCA